ACGCUCGACACCUACGGGAGGUAGCAGUGGGGAAUAUUGCACAAUGGGGGAAACCCUGAUGCAGCGACGCCGCGUGGAGGAAGAAGGUCUUCGGAUUGUAAACUCCUGUUGUUGGGGAAAAAGAGGAUGGUACCCAACAAGGAAGUGACGGCUAACUACGUGCCAGAGCCGCGGUAAUCUGAGCGGGCGUGGCGAAGGC
This 199-nucleotide ribosomal RNA is filed under the name uncultured bacterium. RNAcentral describes it as "partial 16S ribosomal RNA". It matches the Rfam family "Bacterial small subunit ribosomal RNA", at positions 328 to 544 of the family's 1533-position model. The record is from RNAcentral.